GCUUAACCGGAGAAGUGCAUCGGAAACUGAUAAACUUGAGUACAGAAAAGGAUAGUGGAACUUCAUGUGUAGCGGUGAAAUGCGUAGAUAUAUGAAGGAACACCAGUGGCGAAGGCGGCUAUCUGGUCUGUAACUGACGCUGAGGCUCGAAAGCAUGGGUAGCAAACAGGAUUAGAUACCCUGGUAGUCCAUGCCGUAAACGAUGAAUGCUAGGUGUUGGAAGGUUUCCGCCUUUCAGUGCCGCAGCUAACGCAUUAAGCAUUCCGCCUGGGGAGUACGACCGCAAGGUUGAAACUCAAAGGAAUUGACGGGGACCCGCACAAGCGGUGGAGCAUGUGGUUUAAUUCGAUGCUACGCGAAGAACCUUACCAGGACUUGACAUCUUCUGCCAAUCUAAGAGAUUAGACGUUCCCUUCGGGGACAGAAUGACAGGUGGUGCAUGGUUGUCGUCAGCUCGAGUCGUGAGAUGUUGGGUUAAGUCCCGCAACGAGCGCAACCCUUGUCUUUAGUUGCCAGCAUUAAGUUGGGCACUCUAGAGAGACUGCCGGUGAUAAACCGGAGGAAGGUGGGGAUGACGUCAAAUCAUCAUGCCCCUUAUGUCCUGGGCUACACACGUGCUACAAUGGGCGAUACAACG
This 637-nucleotide ribosomal RNA is filed under the name uncultured bacterium. Its description in RNAcentral is "bacterial SSU rRNA". It matches the Rfam family "Bacterial small subunit ribosomal RNA", at positions 607 to 1244 of the family's 1533-position model. The record is from RNAcentral.